AUAAUAUGAAAAUACAAAUAACGAAUCAUAGUACAUGCAAUAGCAAUAAUCAUACAACAUUUAAAUGAUAACAUUGAUAAAUAAGGGCCAAUGAAUUAAAUGAUAAAAAGGUAUAAAACAAAUUAAAAUAAAUAAAGUGUACCAAAUUUUAGAAUGGUAAUAAAUGAAUUUAAAAUAAGUAAUGUAAAAUAUAUAUAUAUAUUUUAAAAUCCAUAACCACACAAAGUAGAAAUUUUUAAAAAAAAUGAAUAAAUGUAGCAAAUAGAAACAAUGUUUAAUUUAGCUAUAGAAAAGAAGAUAAUAAAUAAAUAGCACAUAAAUAAGAAAAUUAGCCAAAUGAAUGACUAAAUUUUAAAAACAAAGUAGUUUCGAAAUUAUGUCAAAGUAUAUAAGUAGACACAUGAUGAAUAAGAUAUAUAUAUAUACAAGAUUUUAGGUAGACAACUAUGUAUAUAUAAAAGUAAUAGCAAUAAUAUUACAAGACCGAUUAAUUUAAUAAUAUAAUAACAAGACAAAUAAAUAAGAAAAACAAAAAGAGAAAUAAUAAUGAUAAUGAUAAUAAUAAUAAUAAUAAUAAUUAAUUUGAUAAUAAAAUAGUCCAGAACCACAAAGAAAAGACUAAAUUGAAAUUUAAAUACAAAAAUUGGGGUGAAUUUAAAAAAAACAAUGAGCUGAUUUGAAAGGACUAGAAAGGAUGAGGGACCAUUUGUACAAUUUUUCCCAAAAGCAAAAACAUGCAGACCAUGGAGUUAGUGGCAUGGUUUCAUUAAUUAUUAAAAACUAAAAAAAUUGAAUGGUCAUGUGCCAUUUUAUACUAGCAGCAAAAUAGACCACCCCUCCCUUUUAUCCCUUUUGUUUGGUUUUGACCUCAACCUUGGAGCGCCACCGCACCACCCUCGGACUUGGUGCCGACCACGCGCAGAAAGGACACGACGAGAGGCCGGAGGUAAGUAUUAUUCUUCCUUUUUAUUCUCUUUUGAAACUGGUUUUCUUUUUUUCUUUUCCGUUUGGUACAUAUUUUUUCCUUUCCCCCUUCUCCCUUUGGAGUUCGAAAUCGAUGAGGGAGGGAGGAGUUCCAGCGACGUGAUUCGGUAAGUCCCUUUCCCCUCCCUUUUUAUUUUUCAUAUUUAUGUAAAAAAACAAAAAUAAAAAAAUAAACUUAAGAUUAAAUAAAUAAUACGAAAAUCACCUUAAAACUUUAAAUCUUUUGCUUUUCUAUUCCAAAUUUUCGGAAGAAAAACCAGAAACCCCCCUGAACAAAGAUGAGAUUCUGGCUUUUAAAGCCAUUUACAAGAUGAUUUAUUCCUAUUUUUUUGUCGUUUUCUUCCUCGUUUUUAUUGCUUGCGUGCGAAUCUUUCUUUGCAGGUGACAGAUGAGUGUCAGGCGCAUGGAGGGCUGGUGGUUGGUGCCCCGAACUGUGGUGGUGGCGCGCGUGAUGGCCAAGGCUGAAAACUUGGUGGCUAGGGUUAGUUGCUGAAAAAUUUUAAGAUAGUGGGCUGGGGCUGAUUUGGGCUCUGUAAUUGGGUCUAGAGUUUGGUUUUGGGUCGGGCAUAUUUGGGCCUCUACAGUUCUUAGAGGAGGUUAAGAGGAUGAGAAUUAGAGUAAUUAAAAUCAAUUAUACUCAAAAUUCAAUUACCCUGUAACUUUCCAAACAUAUUUGUAUUUGAUUUAAAUUUUAAAAUUUAUUCUAAAAUUUAAUUAUAUGUUGUUUUACUAAUCUUGUUUAAAAAAUCUAACAUUUUUAUUAAUGAGAGAGAAUUUUUU
RNAcentral lists this long non-coding RNA (1764 nucleotides) under Gossypium barbadense (sea-island cotton). RNAcentral's name for it is "long non-coding RNA (GBAR_LNC008342)". Lineage: Eukaryota; Viridiplantae; Streptophyta; Magnoliopsida; Malvales; Malvaceae. The record is from RNAcentral.